This 661-nucleotide ribosomal RNA is filed under the name Rhodococcus sp. AT49. RNAcentral's name for it is "bacterial SSU rRNA". It matches the Rfam family "Bacterial small subunit ribosomal RNA", at positions 830 to 1475 of the family's 1533-position model. The record is from RNAcentral. Lineage: Bacteria; Bacillati; Actinomycetota; Actinomycetes; Mycobacteriales; Nocardiaceae.
CUUAAAGAUUCGUGGCCCGGUAGUUUACGCACAUUAAGCGCCCCCGCCCUGGGGAGUUACGGCCCGGCAAGGCUAAAACUCCAAAGGGAAUUGACCGGGGGCCCGCACAAGCCGGCGGAGCAUGGUGGAUUAAUUCGAUGCAACGCGAAGAACCUUACCUGGGUUUGACAUAUACCGGACGACUGCAGAGAUGUGGUUUCCCUUGUGGUCGGUAUACAGGUGGUGCAUGGCUGUCGUCAGCUCGUGUCGUGAGAUGUUGGGUUAAGUCCCGCAACGAGCGCAACCCUUGUCCUGUGUUGCCAGCACGUAAUGGUGGGGACUCGCAGGAGACUGCCGGGGUCAACUCGGAGGAAGGUGGGGACGACGUCAAGUCAUCAUGCCCCUUAUGUCCAGGGCUUCACACAUGCUACAAUGGCUGGUACAGAGGGCUGCGAUACCGUGAGGUGGAGCGAAUCCCUUAAAGCCGGUCUCAGUUCGGAUCGGGGUCUGCAACUCGACCCCGUGAAGUCGGAGUCGCUAGUAAUCGCAGAUCAGCAACGCUGCGGUGAAUACGUUCCCGGGCCUUGUACACACCGCCCGUCAAGUCAUGAAAGUCGGUAACACCUAGAAGUCCGGUGGCCUAACCCAAGUGGGAGCGAGCCGUCCAAUAGUGAUUAGCCCC